GGCGCUAUAGCCAAGUGGUUACGGCGACAGAUUAGAAUUGAUUUCAGAGUCGGACAUGUCUACCGAUCUGUUCCUCUUUGAGGGCGCAGGUUCGAAUCCUGCUGGCGUCG
RNAcentral lists this transfer RNA (110 nucleotides) under Moniliophthora perniciosa FA553. It matches the Rfam family "tRNA". Rfam says of the family: Transfer RNA (tRNA) molecules are approximately 80 nucleotides in length. Their secondary structure includes four short double-helical elements and three loops (D, anti-codon, and T loops). The record is from Rfam by way of RNAcentral. Lineage: Eukaryota; Fungi; Basidiomycota; Agaricomycetes; Agaricales; Marasmiaceae.